RNAcentral lists this ribosomal RNA (252 nucleotides) under uncultured bacterium. RNAcentral's name for it is "partial 16S ribosomal RNA". It matches the Rfam family "Bacterial small subunit ribosomal RNA", at positions 524 to 776 of the family's 1533-position model. The record is from RNAcentral.
UACGUAGGGGGCAAGCGUUGUCCGGAAUUAUUGGGCGUAAAGCGCGCGCAGGCGGCGACUUAAGUCUGGUGUUUAAACCUUGGGCUCAACCUGGGGUCGCACUGGAAACUGGGUGGCUUGAGUACAGAAGAGGAAAGUGGAAUUCCACGUGUAGCGGUGAAAUGCGUAGAGAUGUGGAGGAACACCAGUGGCGAAGGCGACUUUCUGGGCUGUAACUGACGCUGAGGCGCGAAAGCGUGGGGAGCAAACAGG